RNAcentral lists this long non-coding RNA (1216 nucleotides) under Chinchilla lanigera (long-tailed chinchilla). RNAcentral's name for it is "lncRNA (ENSCLAG00000023564.1)". The record is from RNAcentral. Lineage: Eukaryota; Metazoa; Chordata; Mammalia; Rodentia; Chinchillidae.
UUUUUCCCAAAGGAGAGAAAAUGUCUUGGAAACUUCUCCAAAGUGAAUGAGAAGUUGUUUUUCCUUUUUAGAGAAGAUCUGCUCCUCCAUCUGACAUCAGCGCAGUCCUACUUCCAUCCAGGCCAUGAGCUUUUGCAGGACUGAUUAUGAAAUUUCUGUAGCAUUCAUUAAAGUACAGGUCGAGCAUUCUUAAACUGGAAAUCUGAAAUCUUAGAUGUUCCAAAAUCCAAAGCUUUUGAGAACCAAUGUGAUGCCGCAGAUGGAAAAUUGUACAUCUACCUUCAUGUUAUGUGUCACAGUGAAAGCACGGGCACUUUCAAAGUGCUGUACAAAAGUACUUUCAGAAGCAUAUGGAACUUGGAAGUUAUGGUUAAAAAUAAAUGAAGACAAUAUUACAUCAAAACCAUUCCAGAGCUCAAAGGGGGCUGGAGGCUGUUUCCAUGGCACCCGCUGUGGCGGCCUACCAGCUGAGUUUGGCAUCGCUGCCUCCACAAAACAGGCCGAACUUUUGUUUGCUACAGCAGCACUAAGACUCCAAAGGCCCAUGUUGACAGAUCUAUCUGGUAUUAAUUCCAGACCCAAGCCCAUCUACUUGCCACUCAAAGCCAAUCCUUGGAGAUGAGAAUUGGUGGGAAGCAAAUCAGGUUUAUUCAAGAUCUGAGAAGAUAGAACUGAACCACUGUCCUUACAAAAGACCAUAUUGGGGAACUCAGGCCCACGAAAGGGCUUUUAUACAGUGGAGAGAAGCAGGGUGACACCAUGACCAGAAGACUGAGCUGAGUAUGGUUCCCCCCCCCCCCGGCCAGAAUAUCAAAAUUGACGUUGGUCUCUUGGGGCUAGUUCCUGUAAUUCUUCAGUCAAAUAUCCCAGAAGGUUAAAUUUCAUAGCAAUUUACAUGUUUCAUGUUAAACAUGCAAUACACAAUUGAUGUACAGAAUGAAAAUAAGGAAGGGCAUUACACAUUCUGGUGUGAUCCCAGGCUCUCUGGACAUCUUGGGUUUUGUAAAUCUAGAGAAAUAUUAUGUAGCAGUUAACAUGUGAAUCAUUUAGGCGUGGUUUGUCUUUAGAAUUUAGAAUGAUAGCCAAAGAGAGGGAAAUUCAAAGGCAGGUCACAAAGGGGAAGCCUCUGUCACAGUACCAUCUCCCACUCUUUCUCCUUCCUCUGCCACAGCCUCUGGACAAGUUUUGCAGUCAUCUCAUUCAUCUAUCUUUCAUU